UACGUAGGGUGCAAGCGUUAAUCGGAAUUACUGGGCGUAAAGGGCGCGUAGGCGGCCUGAUAAGUAGGGGGUGAAAUCCUGCGGCUUAACCGCAGGGCUGCCUUCUAAACUGUCAGGCUGGAGCACAGUAGAGGCAGGUGGAAUUCCCGGUGUAGCGGUGGAAUGCGUAGAGAUCGGGAGGAACACCGGUGGCGAAGGCGGUUCUCUGGGCCUUACCUGACGCUGAGGAGCGAAAGCGUGGGGAGCGAACAGG
This 253-nucleotide ribosomal RNA is filed under the name uncultured bacterium. Its description in RNAcentral is "partial 16S ribosomal RNA". It matches the Rfam family "Bacterial small subunit ribosomal RNA", at positions 524 to 776 of the family's 1533-position model. The record is from RNAcentral.